Centruroides sculpturatus (bark scorpion) is the source of this 549-nucleotide long non-coding RNA. RefSeq lists it as uncharacterized. The record is from RefSeq and is a predicted model, not a curated record. Lineage: Eukaryota; Metazoa; Arthropoda; Arachnida; Scorpiones; Buthidae. The transcript has 5 exons.
AUAUUGGAAAUGAAUUAUUUAGCCAUUUUAUUCAAUAUAUUUCUUCUUUGCUGCUCAAUAUAUUGUGUCUCAGGUUCUCAGGAGUGCUCGUCAUUUUUUCUUGAUCGUUAUUGUGGUAAGAUAACUAUUUUCACGCCUUAAAAUUUAUUAUAACAAAGAUUAUAUGAUCGUUAUACAUUUAAAAAGUUAAUACUCUAUAAUUAAUUUUAGCAUUAAAAAAUGGACGAUCUGCAGUGGAAUGUGGAAGAAGAUUUAAUAUCUCUAGACCGUUUGAAGUUUUUGAAAAUUGCUACGAUUCAAAUAAUCCAGAUGAAAAACGUUUGGGAACAGCAGAAAAACUCGAAAGAUUGUGUACAGUUCUUGAUCCUGACAUAUAUAAUGCUGUGAAACAAUGUUACCAAACAUCAGCAUACAUUGACUUGAAACAAACUAAAACAGUAUUUAAAAUAACUGAGAUUUGUAUUUCUCGUGUUGAAAUGAAAGAAGGAAAGUACUGUGGCCUUGGAGGACUUUUUAAUCUUCUUCAUCGUAUUCAUCAUCAUUACUAUC